UCAGCUGCCUCUUGCACAACCCCUACCGGGGAUGUGCCCGCAACCAAGGUACAUGCCUUUGACCGGAAUCGAACCUGGGACCUUUCAGUCUGCAGGCCGACGCUCUAUCCACUGAGCCAAACCGGUUUUGGCUGCUCUCAAGGUUCUUAAAGUCAGUGAGGAGAGAAUUCAGACCCCCAAAGUAAGGUCAUUAACAGAACCUAGGGAUGUGACCAGGAAGUGCCAACCCCAAAGAUAAAACCAUCCACUGGAGAGGCUUCCUGUCAACUGAAAAGUUUUCCUAAUGUAACCCAUCCUACAAUGUAUCGGUAGGAAUUAAUGUCUCAGGCCACAAUAUCAACUGUUUUUAUGUGAUCUGUAAAAUACUUCUGAAGUUCUGAAAUGCUUUGAACAACAGCAUUACCAUUGUUUCAAAAUGGUGCUCUUUCUCUCAUUACUCUUCAUGAAUGUCACCAACUGUUAGAAAAGCCACUGCCUUUUGCAAUAAAAUAAAAUGUUCAUCUCAA
Eptesicus fuscus (big brown bat) is the source of this 506-nucleotide long non-coding RNA. RefSeq lists it as uncharacterized. NCBI's taxonomy places the organism in Eukaryota, Metazoa, Chordata, Mammalia, Chiroptera, Vespertilionidae. The transcript is spliced from 2 exons. The record is from RefSeq and is a predicted model, not a curated record.